This 441-nucleotide ribosomal RNA is filed under the name uncultured Oomycota. RNAcentral describes it as "LSU rRNA". It matches the Rfam family "Eukaryotic large subunit ribosomal RNA", at positions 165 to 604 of the family's 3401-position model. Lineage: Eukaryota; Oomycota. The record is from RNAcentral.
AGCAUAGCGAUUUGGGAUAAGUCCCUUGGAAAAGGGCAGCAUAGAGGGUGAUACUCCCGUCUCUGCUCAGAUUGUCUGUGUGUACGAUACGCUUUCUUUGAGUCGAGUUGUUUGGGAAUACAGCUCAAAGUAGGUGGUAAAUUCCAUCUAAAGCUAAAUAUUGGUGCGAGACCGAUAGCGAACAAGUACCGUGAGGGAAAGAUGAAAAGAACUUUGAAAAGAGAGUUAAAGAGUACCUGAAACUGUUGAAAGGGAACCGUAUCGUUUCCAGUGUUGAAUCCUAUGCAUAUUUCAUUGGCGGAGUAAUUUGCUGGUGCCCUGUGCAUGGGUGUGACGUCAGAGUCAGUUUGUAUGCUGCGGGAGAUGGUUAGUAAGAAGGUGCGUCACUUCGGUGAAAGUUAUAUCUUGCUAUCUAGUUGCCGUGGUUGAGACUGAGGUGCC